This 431-nucleotide ribosomal RNA is filed under the name uncultured bacterium. RNAcentral describes it as "partial 16S ribosomal RNA". It matches the Rfam family "Bacterial small subunit ribosomal RNA", at positions 29 to 507 of the family's 1533-position model. The record is from RNAcentral.
AACGAACGCUGGCGGCAGGCUUAACACAUGCAAGUCGAACGCCCCGCCAGGGGAGUGGCAGACGGGUGAGUAACGCGUGGGAACAUACCCUUUUCUACGGAAUAGCUCUGGGAAACUGGAAUUAAUACCGUAUACGCCCUACGGGGGAAAGAUUUAUCGGGGAAGGAUUGGACCGCGUUGGCUUAGCUGGUUGGGGGGGUAAAGGCCUACCAAGGCGACGAUCCAUAGCUGGUCUGAGAGGAUGACCAGCCACAUUGGGACUGAGACACGGCCCAAACUCCUACAGGAGGCAGCAGAGGGGAAUAUUGGACAAUGGGCUCGAGCCUGAUCCAGCCAUGCCGCGUGAGUGAUGAAGUCCGUAGGGUUAUAAAGCUCUUUAACCGAUGAAGAUAAUGACGGUAGUCGGAGAAGAAGCCCCGGCUAACUUCGUG